GGGCCCGCACAAGCGGUGGAGCACGUGGUUUAAUUCGAUGCAAACCGAAGAACCUUACCUGGGUUUGACAUGUACGCCGACGAGGAUGAAAGUCCGAGGGCCUGGCUUGCCAGGCGGCGUAUGCAGGUGCUGCAUGGCUGUCGUCAGCUCGUGUCGUGAGAUGUUGGGUUAAGUCCCGCAACGAGCGCAACCCUUGUUGUCAGUUGCCAACGGGGAGAGCCGGGCACUCUGGCGAGACUGCCGCCGACAAGGCGGAGGAAGGUGGGGACGACGUCAAGUCAUCAUGGCCUUUAUGCCCAGGGCGACACACGUGCUACAAUGGCGCGCACAGAGGGAAGCGAUGUCGCGAGGCGGAGCGGAUCCCAGAAAGCGCGGUCUCAGUUCGGAUUGUAGUCUGCAACCCGGCUACAUGAAGCCGGAAUCGCUAGUAAUCGCAGAUCAGCCAAGCUG
RNAcentral lists this ribosomal RNA (450 nucleotides) under uncultured Synergistota bacterium. RNAcentral's name for it is "bacterial SSU rRNA". It matches the Rfam family "Bacterial small subunit ribosomal RNA", at positions 917 to 1359 of the family's 1533-position model. Lineage: Bacteria; Thermotogati; Synergistota. The record is from RNAcentral.